Molecule: ribosomal RNA, 430 nt
Filed under: uncultured bacterium
Lineage: Bacteria
Description: bacterial SSU rRNA
Rfam family: Bacterial small subunit ribosomal RNA
Source: RNAcentral
ACACAUGCAAGUCGAACGAAGCGCUUAAAUGGAUUUCUUCGGAUUGAAGUUUUUGUGACUGAGUGGCGGACGGGUGAGUAACGCGUGGGUAACCUGCCUCAUACAGGGGGAUAACAGUUAGAAAUGACUGCUAAUACCGCAUAAGCGCACAGUGCUGCAUGGCACAGUGUGAAAAACUCCGGUGGUAUGAGAUGGACCCGCGUCUGAUUAGCUGGUUGGUGGGGUAACGGCCUACCAAGGCGACGAUCAGUAGCCGGCCUGAGAGGGUGAACGGCCACAUUGGGACUGAGACACGGCCCAAACUCCUACGGGAGGCAGCAGUGGGGAAUAUUGCACAAUGGGGGAAACCCUGAUGCAGCGACGCCGCGUGAGCGAAGAAGUAUUUCGGUAUGUAAAGCUCUAUCAGCAGGGAAGAAAAUGACGGUACCUG